GACGAACGCUGGCGGCGUGCUUAACACAUGCAAGUCGAACGGAAGGGCCCUGCGUUUGUGGGGUGCUCGUGUGGCGAACGGGUGAGUAACACGUGAGUAACCUGCCCUUGACUUUGGGAUAACUUCAGGAAACUGGGGCUAAUACCGGAUAGGAGCUCCUGCUGCAUGGUGGGCGUUGGAAAGUUUCGGCGGUUGGGGAUGGACUCGCGGCUUAUCAGCUUGUUGGUGGGGUAGUGGCUUACCAAGGCUUCGACGGGUAGCCGGCCUGAGAGGGUGACCGGCCACAUUGGGACUGAGAUACGGCCCAGACUCCUACGGGAGGCAGCAGUGGGGAGUAUUGCGCAAUGGGCGGAAGCCUGAUGCAGCAACGCCGCGUGCGGGAUGACGGCCUUCGGGUUGUAAACCGCUUUCGCCUGUGACGAAGCGUGAGUGACGGUAAUGGGUAAAGAAGCACCGGCUAACUACGUG
RNAcentral lists this ribosomal RNA (468 nucleotides) under uncultured bacterium. Its description in RNAcentral is "partial 16S ribosomal RNA". It matches the Rfam family "Bacterial small subunit ribosomal RNA", at positions 28 to 507 of the family's 1533-position model. The record is from RNAcentral.